UGCAGAGAUACUGUUCGUCAACGGAGGAAGUGGAAACUUUAUAUAACAAAAGUACAUCUAUCAAUGAAUAGGAGAAAAAAACUUUCUUACGUUCUUCUCAUAAUAUUUAACCAAUUACAAAGCCAAACCAGUAUCAAUUACUUCGACGAUUUUCCUCGCUAUUCAAGAUGUACGUAAACAUUGUACAGAAGCAAAAAUUUGAACUCGCAUUUUUCGUUUGAAAUGAGUCGUCUGAGAAGGUUUAGACGGACGUCGCCUCAUUUCAGGUUCUACUGUACAUUUUGGGACAUCCUGUAUUUAUACAACUAUGUUCGUUUUAUAUUUAUAUGUUGCGCAAUCGACGCACAAAGUACGCGAUUUCCAUAUUUGCUAUUCGAAAGUGUCUUCCAUCUACGGGCAAUUUCCAAGAACUACGUAAUAAUUACGAGCCUGAGCAUCACCGUGGACGAAAGAUCGUCGAACGAAAAAACGCGAUAACUAUUUACGUUUCCAUACGUUCAUUUGUCUGCUAAUUUUCUCGGACGUUAACGACGCGCGCAUUCUUAGGCAUUGCCGGCGUAUUCCGAUACGAGAGAGUACGUUCAAUCAAAUUUACAAGCUACCCGUAUGAAUCAGAUUUUAAUUGCAUCCGCAUAUAUGUAUUAGGUAGAACGUGUCGCGUCGAUACGAAAUUUAUGAAUCAUGCUUGGCAAGGUUUCUGCUUCAUUAUCGCCUCUGCAAAUGACUAUUCUCAACGGCGUGUCGAGAUACAAUCUGGAGGCAACAAUCGUCGCCGUUAAAAUUGUCAAGUUGAAUGAAACGACUGGACAUAUUUCUCGAAACUUGGGAACCGCUUGGGGACCUUUGUUCAUUUCUCCACUUCUCACUACGACGCAACGCGAUGGAUGCGCCGAAUGAUAAAACGUAUCAACUCGAGGAUAUACCAGUGCUCAAAGGUCGAACUAUCCACGAAACGGGCAAUCGGCCUGGCUGUUCGUCUAAGGCUUAGGAUUGGUCAAAGCGGUAGCAGUUUUGCUCUCGAGUCGGCGCGAAGGGAAGCGUAACGUCAUAAGUGAUAUACAAUGAUGUAGUACACCUGUAUCGGAUCAUAAAUUCCAGACCCUUUAACGAGUCGCUGGCAGAAAACAAGGCAGAAGAGAGGAGCGCAUUACGCGUCGAGGCUGGUAAAUCGGUGGAUAACGCCUCGGUAAUAAUAUCGGCGAGCCAAUCAAACGGGCAACUAACCAAUCAAUCAACGGGAGUCUAGCAACCAACUAACCCAAGCAACGAAACAACCAACGAACCAACUUGCCUACCUAAGCUACCUAGGAGGGAGAGAUGCGCGAGCUUGUUCGCGCACCAUAUAUGGCCAUCAGCGCGCGGCCUGAACUCGUGCUGCGCUUCCACCGGAGAUUCUCACAAAUUUACGCAGGGCUAUGUGUUUCCCCGGGUGACUUUCUCUCCCCCAGGUCUGGCAGCCACCACCGGAUACUUUUUUCCCUGGGCGAACCGUCGCGUCGCGGAAACCUAUGCGUUAUACAUGCAUUUCGACUCCCUCGUUAGGACGCGUACACAUGUCGCGAGGGGACCGAGGAUCGCGUAUGCAUCGAGAGAAAGCAAAUCGCGUCCCGCUCAGACCGCUACCAGAGAUUAGGAAGGCAGCUCGUCUUUCGAUGGAUCACGCGGCUACUCCGGUGGCGAGCGAUCCUCUCGUUACCAAACCAUCGAUUUCAUGCGAGAGGCGUACCAUCCACGGGGACCGCGAAGGACCCUCUUCUUAUGGAAAAGCGAUCCUGGUCGAUUUGUUUCCUGGCUUUCGAGACGCUGUCCACGCAUCCAAAACCGAUGCUCCCGUGCACGUCCAUCACAGGAGGAAGAAAAGCAAAACGAAGCGUUCUUCGACCUGGAGGGGCAGAGAGAGCAAGAAAGAGGAGCUUCCGCGAAGCUCGAAUCGUUUCCACGUCGCAAGCUUGGCUCUGGCCGAGAUGGGCAAAAUUGUAUUCCAAUAAAAACCCCGUAUAGUGAUUUAUUAGCGACGUUUAUUCGAUUGAACAGUUAUACAGAUCAGUUUUUACCCGUUCAACGCGCGGUGCUGCGGUUGGACUGGUACCGUGUACCGCCUAAAAAUCGUACGGGGUCUUCGGCGUACCUGCAAGACUUCGUAAAGAACUUCUGGGCAAUAUUGUAUUUAUGCGAUCCGUCGGCAUCGGUAUUAUAAUACGAGUUUUAUCGUCGAUCCAUAUGGUUAUCUCGUCGGUAUUUAUUUACCAUAAUGGAACGAAUCAAAAUGAAAUCAAAAUGGAAUCAAAACGAAACGUAAAAGACUCUUUCUUUUAGAAUGUACAGAUCGAUAUCUCGGGAAAUUCCAUUUAUAACGUUUAAUUUUUCUUUCAGAAGAAGAAGAAACAAGGGCUACCGUGAUCUUUACUGUAAUUACUCGUUAAUGUCAACGAUCCAACAAGUCCCGGGUGCCAUGAACGUCGACGUAGUUGAAGCGCGCGUGUUCGUAAAGGAUUUCCGAAAGCACGGAGGGCUGCGAAAGCGGCCCUUGUCCUGCAGAGGCAGGCGUUGUCGACAAUCACUUCCGAGUCGCAUUUGUACCCCCCAUUACCACGGGUGUGUAUAGAAGGCGCGACAAAAACCGGCAUUCCUGAUUCUUAAGUUGGACUCUAUAUAAGUAUCUGCCAUCGCGAACAUUGCCUGUAUAUGGCGACAACCAGGCUUUGACAAAGGUGACCGUAUAUGGUAUUCUGCUUCCACCUUCCAUACCUUCUCUCUCUCUAGCUCUCUCCCCGCCAUCUUUCUCUUUCCCUUCCCUUACAGCCCUCCUCUCCCACCUGUCUUCUUUGCCAUUCUCUCUAUCGCCCUGGCAGACUUCUUGCUACCGUUGUCCUCGUCGCUUCCUCGUGUCCGAUCCAUCGGGGUGCCUCCUCGACGAAAUGCAUCAUAAUCGUUAAGUCGUUAGAUCGUAAAUCAUGGCUUGGAACCCCCGUCGCAAUCGAUAUCUCCCCCCCUCGUCCCUAAGAACCCACCAAAUCGCGACAGAGAAAAAGGGAGGUUCAAACAGUAUCACGGAUCCUACAGGGGGCGUUGUUGUUUUCUCGGUACGAUCUUGUUCGGUGAACAGGGAGCAACCUCGCUUUUCUUCGAUUUUUUUCCCCUGCUUUUAAUUGCGAUUUAGGUAGCGUUGUAACCUUAUGUUUUAGGGGAUGCCAAGGAUGAAGUUCUUGCGGACUUUAACCGAGAGACGGUUCGGUAAAGAAGAUCGCGGAUCAAGUGGCGUGCCCUUGUUUGGCCAAUGAGAGCAAUUCUGGUCGAACGAAAUUGAAUUUCAUCGUUUCGAUUGUCUUCGAGAAUCAAAUUACGUGUGCACAGGAUGCGAGAAACUUUAAUAUACGCGAACUUCGAAAUAUAAUUUUAUUCGAUCGGAAACAAUAGCUCUCGUUGAUCGAAAUAAGAAACGCUUCCUUCGAAUUUAUGUAUACCGAAGGCAAGCAAGAACUAGAGCUAACUUGCGUGAGAAACGAAAUGAUUCUCGACUAGAAUUUCUAAAUACACGCGAAUCGCGGAUAGAAACUGUGUACUGUGCGCUAAUCGAGAAAUCAGACCUACCUUGCGAAUCACGCUGAAAAGAUGAAUGGCAAAGUGGAUUGGCUGUUGGAUCGGUGUCUUAUUUUCAAGCGAUUCAUUGUUUACAAUAGCAAGUCGCAGCGUUAACGGGAUUAUUAUUUAAUCUUGCAACUCGACGCAUAUCGGAAGGUUCUAGUUCUUACAAUAUUAUCGUUUCCAUAUAAAUUACUUAGCGUACCAGGGAAUGCGAUCGUUGCACCAUCAAGAAAAUUGUAUUUGCCGUUUCGUUGAUCGUUCUCCAACGUCAAUUACAAAAAUGUAGAAUUCUGGGUCGAGCUCUUUCGCUUUUUCGAAGCGAUAGAAUUUCUUUGAAUAAAGAAAAAAAAAACGGCAGCUUCGACGGGUCAUUGAUCUUGCUCGUUUCGGUUUCGACGUUAACUAUACAUACAACGAAACAGUUCUCCAACUGCGUGAAAUAACAAGUUUCUCUUUCGGUUGGUUUUAACCCUUUGCGCUUGAUUUAAACAUCAAGUUCUGUAUUUCUGUAAAAUUGAAUUUAUCCUCCGAUUUCACUGUACAGAUCCAUUUUCACAUAGUUCCAAAGCUUUCGAAACAACAAGAACUUCGUAAAAACUUUCUGUCACGAUUAUCGAACUAAUUAAAACUCAAUAUAAACAAAGACUGUUGCCUCCCAGUAGCGAUCAAGAGACGCCUCUCGACCGCAAAGGGUUAAUUUUCGAUUGGACGAAUCGCGAGAGAAGCGUGUUCCCGCACAGACGACAAGUAAAAGCUUCGAUACGAUCUCGGCGAUAGCUGCUAUAUCGGAACGAAAUCCGACGUCGUUAGAGGAUAAAUUCCUUAAAAUUCCACGGUUUUUUUGUUUGUCGUUGUUCAACAACGCGCUAACUACGCGAACCAGUAAACGGUUAAUUCCUUCGUCGAAGGAGCACGGUUUCAUUAUUCUCCUCGACGCAACUAAUUUAAACGUUUCACGCGAAACUGUUACCCAAUCGAAUUCCUUCCUUUUCGUUUGUGUAUCUCUGACGCGUCGCGGGACAGGGGUGGCGAAUCUUUUCGUACGAGAAUUAACGAAACGUUAAUAAGAAAACGAACGCGUCCCGUGGAAAUUAAUGAAAAAUAUCGAGUAUCAAAGUUGUUAUGUUUGUUACAGGUUCGUCAGCCCUGUCCCAAACACGUUCGUCGUAGCUACGAUUGCAUGCCGAGAAGACCAAAAAAGAUGAAUAAUGAAAGAAAAAUCGGAACGGUAUCUUCACUACACAACAGGUGGGUGUUCUCUACCUACCUGUUCGUGAACAACUGGCACCUCGUACCAACAGUGUUGGAGCGUUCGGUAAUAUUCGGCUAAGUGUGUACGAGAUGACAAAAGUACAGUCGUGUUUGGGACCGUAUCAUUAAUGAACGAUAAUAUAUAUACGUACGUGUAAUAUAAAUAUUAUCACAGUAUUUUACAGUACACUAUUUACACAUGUGAUACAUACUAAGGCACGCCAGCCGUACAUUCGUGAUUACCGUUUAGGAUUAUAAUAUCGUUAAUUAAUAUGUAUAUAUAUAUAUUUAUAUACACACACAUAUAUAUAUAUAUAAAUAUUAUUUGUACUUUGUGCGUCGAUGGGAGAAACAAAAUUACAUUUUCGUUGCAUAUUUCCAUUCGGGUUCGAUCCUCCCUUACUUUUACGCCUGAUCGAUACUUUCUCUCUCUUCGCUUCCACGUGUAACGUGUCUAUCUAUUUAUUCUAUCUAUCUACCUGUUUCUUUUUUUGUCAAUAUUAAGCGAUACAAACAAAAAUCAACAACACACAACACAUUUAUAACAUACACACACACACACACACACACACUUAAAGCAUGCAUAAUGUGAUGAUCUAGGGAGACGGAAGUCGGUUUUCUCUACUUGAGGAUUAUUUCAGUUGGAUAACGAGGACAGGGACCGUGGAGAAGGAGGAAGAGGGGAAAGUCGUGGGAAUUAAAUUAAAUUAGAAAAAAAAAAAAAAAUGGUAUCUUUAAAUACUAACUACUUAAUCUACGAAUAGAGAAAAUAAAAACAAACAAAUACUACACAUGCCACUUUCAGUACAAACACAAUACGGAACAAUGUACGAUGCACAACAAUAUAUAGUUAUAUGUAUGUAUAUAAAUAUAUAUAUGUUUCAAUGCGCAACAAUGCCAAGCGUGCACCGCCGGAUCUACUGGCUCGGACUCGCACCCACGUACUACGAUUUCUCGUUUCUUCGUCGGCUUUUUUUGCCACAGGGAAAGGCGGAACGCCUCGACCUGAACGACAUGAGUAUUAAAAAGGAUGCCUCGAGUAAGGAUCACUCGCAGGGAGGGAAAAUGGGAAACGGAUGCUUCGAUUUUUCCUUCGUUCCUGCCUUCGAAUCCUACGGACGAGGUACGAUCGUUACGAUUAAAUACAAUUGGGCCUGGAAUCGGGACGAACCAAAUCGCCGACGCGUUCGCUAAAUAAACUCGUUCCGAACGCGAGGCUUUACGGAAAAUAAAAUCUGUAUCGAGUUCGCUACGUGCUUGUAUACGCACCGUCCAAAAUAUUUAGAGGAUCGGUUACGUAAAAGUAGAGAAUGUGAAAAAGUAUUCGACGUUUUCGGAUCUGGUAUUUAGACCCGAGUAUCGCGAACCGAUACGUGUUUUCUGAAUAAUUUUAGAAUCGUCUAUCUACUUUAGCGAACCAUCGACUUUAGAGUAUUUCGUUUUUGUUGGACAUUUUUUUUUUCAUCCAGUUAAGAAUUUUGCCCAUCGUUUCGGUUUCCAUCUAUCUCGAACAGUGCCUGGACGAAUUAAUAGUCUUGUACUAACAAACCUAUGAGUCACUGUAUGUUACAGUAUAUUCGGUGUAGCAACGUUUUUAGCGAACGCCUAACUUCUAUAUAUCACGUCGGAGCCUUCGAAGCAUUCGUCGGUCGUCCAACUAUUUUAAGCUGAUCUGCCGAAUUCAACGCGUAAGUGGAAUCAGUCUACUUGAUAUCGUUAAUAUAAUCAACGUUUUGACUAAAACAGCGGCCCACGGAGAUUUGGUUCGACCCAGUUCCUCUUAAGUAUCGUUGCUCGGCGUCGAUCGAUCAACUUACAACGUAUAUACAGGUCUUUAAAUAAAUAAGAAAGAUUCCAUCGCCGUAAGGGUAUUAUAAAUACGAUUCGAGUAAACAAGAAAAACCGGGACACGUGUACGAAUAUAAAAUACACGGCUCCACCAGUAAUUCAUCACAUGAGUCACUACCCUAAGUUACGAUUUAGAACUGCCCCCCCUCCCCCCUCCCCCAACACCUCUGUGCGCGUUUAACGAACAGAGUUUCUCGCACGCAUCUUCCAAAGAGUUAUCCAAAAAGAACCCGAGGAUUUCAUUUUUUAACAACAACUUGUAAUGCAGAAAUUCGGAUGUAUGCCGACUGUGCGUUUUAUUAAAAAAUAAAAUCGUACAGCUCCUCUCGAGAAACUCCGUGUUUCUUAAAGAAGCGAGACUCGAACGAGCACGUCGCCACGCGAUCCCUACGGUACCAGUAGAAAAAGUCUUUGGACUUCCAUUUAACGUACAGAUCCAGCCAUUGCUCCCCGAAUCCUCGUUAUCCAUUCCCCUCGGAUCCUACGGGUUUCCUUCGUUUCCUUCCUUUUCCUAUAUUUUUAGAAUUUCGAAGAACAACAACAAACGAGCAACAACCAGAGUCGAUCGAAGUUGUAGAAUCUACGACGACAGUGCAUGACGGAGACAUAUAUAUAUAUCCUGUACAACGAGCAUAAUAGGUUUCCUAUUAGAUUCUAGCCCCUUCCUGCAAUUCUAUUUACACCUUUCGAGCUGAAGAAGCUCCAUCGUUCGACCACGCUAACUUGAGAACGUCGAAUCGAGUGUUUCAACUUUGAACCAACAUUUUUUGUAACAAAAGUUUUAAUUACUCCCUGCAGAUAAAACAUCGCGAAUGAUCGACGAAGGUGACGAUCCCGCUUGGAGAAACUAAUCGAUCACCUUCAUUCCUAACUACGAACGGGAACCAUGGACGUAAAUCUCGUAUACGUUACAGUACGCGUCGACUGGACUAGAUUUAUACGUUGGAAACGAAGGGCUGCAACGUUUCCUUGCGCUCUAAUCAGUUUUCUUUGAAAACACUGUUGCACCGAACAAGCGUCGCUCGAUUACCGCCGAUGAAGAAGUCUGCCUAGGUUGAAAUCGUACAAGUGAGGUGAAUUUUACAUUUUUUUUUUAAGAAAACUAUCCGAGUCGGCGAUUUCAAACUUUGUCCGUAUACUUAUUUAUGUUUACGCUAGGUAAUUAUUUCUCUUAGUUCUUGUACGUACAAUACCGUCCGAAAACUAGGCAGACCGUCGACGUCUCUUUUCGAGCCAAUCGUACAUCCGGAACGCGCAUUGUGGGACACGAAUGACUUUCGUUUGCGUAUCGAGUACCGAAACCUGCUAUGUUAAGUACCGUCGACCCCAUCCUAAAGAUGACAGGUGUCCGUGGUCUCUACUCGCGCAAUAUCGUCGAAAGAAAAGUUAAUUGCUCGGGCUCUCUUCGCUCGACAUCGUCCCGAUCGUCGUAGCACGAUUUCUUGUCCCCACGAUUUCACUUCGUCGAUUAAUUUAACCCUCUCGUUGCAAUCGGCCGGUCAAAGUCGCUCGCCGUGUCGGGGCUUGCAGACUAUCAGAUCGAUCGCUGGGCGCGUUAAAGAACAAAGGGCCAAUUUAUUUCGACAAACACCGUAACGCGCGAACCAUCCAGAAUAUCAAUCCAGCGUUUAAGCUAACGUUGCUCGCGGUUCACGAAUUGCUCCGUUUGCCUGCGGUCACGACAAGAAAAUAACCGUACUUCCAUCGACACCGGAUGCUAUGCGCCUCAUCGAGAAUUUCGAUAUUCACCGUCCGGAAAAGAAAGUCGGAUGUCGUCCAGGAACUUCCUCUCGUCGCGCUGAUUCUAUAUUCAGCCUGCGCGACGCACGGCUUUACGUCCACCACGAUAACGAGACAUUCGAGAAUUACAAUUACCCGUAACGCCGAGCGUCCAUCUUCCGAAACGUCUUGGAAGACCGACAGAGACUAACGACACCGUUAAAAGAUCUCUCAGUGUUUCUUAGAAACUUCUAACCUUCAACGAUCAACUACCGAUCGUCGUAAAAUCCUGACAAAGCUUUUCCCAAAAUUCUCGUCGCUAAAUCUGAAUCAUUUCCAGGUGCAUUAUCUCCAGGAAAGGAUGGCUAGAAGAUCCCGCGUGCCUAACGCCUAGCGUCCCCUGGAGAGUAUAAUAACUGUACAAAACAAAACUCUCGAGUGGACAGCUGGCAUUAAACCGCGACAAUGCGAAUGUCCUGAAUAACAAAAACAAUCAAGUUCUCCAGUGGAACAACGAAACCAGUCGAACCGUCUAUGCACCGAGGACACGAAGAAUCUACAACACGUUCAAGAAACACUCGCGCAGCAUCUCCAUUCAGACCUGAGUGUCCAGAGUUCGCGUCUAGAGUUCACCGGAAGUUAGUCUAGCCCUGACGAUUGUAACAACGACGCAAACCUGAUGAGAACAACGUGUGCGCCGAUGGUAGAGAUGAGGGAUCGAGAGAUCAGGCGUUACCUCCUUGUUGCGUGAAUUUUGUUUGAUUAUUUGGAAUAAUCUGACCUGUUAAGAAUCUAAACUCCUUCCAACGAUGAUUCUUCCAUCCCCCAUAUCUACCUACAGCGCGACCAACGGAAUCUUAUCGGGACUUCUGAUCCACGAGUAUCUGAAAGAAGCGCGUGAGAACAUUUGAGAGCUUUGGAUCGAUAUUCAAGACCGCGAAAGUGCGAUGAGUGGUUCAGGUCGUGCUCUGUUUGAUAUGGCCAGGGACUGGGGUAUUUAUGAAUACUAUUAUAAAUAUUAUAAUACUUUAUAAAUACUACGCUCAGAGAAUUACGAAACCCUCUACCGCAUAAUUUCUCCUACAAAUUAAACCGAAUAACACGAAGAAGAUGAGAACAGUCUUCGAAAACUUCAGUCCCUUAGCCAUGCGAAACAAAGUUCGUCGAUACCUACGGAAUUCUGUCUCGAUCCAAAGACUCCCGAAUCCUUUGCACUCCAGACAAUUUCGCUGUAGACAGUAUCGCGCGAUAGACAAUUAUCCAGAGCCUCGUAACACCUAAGGACCCAGAGGUAUACCUAGAGGUACACCUAGAGGUACACCUAGUACCGCGAAGGUCCGCGUAUCCUCUGGACUGCAAAGAAAUCGAAUUCGCUGCGCGCCGUCAGGUCCUAAGCGAGCUACAGCUGGGGUUCUCCUCGAGUGGAUCACGGAUACCGACAUGGCAACCACCAGGCGGUAGGACGCGCGGGGGCGUCCGGGACGUGGAAUGAGCCAAGCGACAAGCUGGUGCUCGUUCGAGUGGGGUAGUACUA
Hylaeus volcanicus is the source of this 9937-nucleotide long non-coding RNA. RefSeq lists it as uncharacterized. The record is from RefSeq and is a predicted model, not a curated record. Lineage: Eukaryota; Metazoa; Arthropoda; Insecta; Hymenoptera; Colletidae. The transcript has 3 exons.